Molecule: small nucleolar RNA, 81 nt
Organism: Vicia villosa (hairy vetch)
Lineage: Eukaryota; Viridiplantae; Streptophyta; Magnoliopsida; Fabales; Fabaceae
Product: small nucleolar RNA R16
Exons: 1
Source: RefSeq, a predicted model, not a curated record
AAUGGCAAAUGAUGAUUAAAAUUAACGCUUAUUGAUAUACUGAUAUAAUAAUUGUUGACAAAUUACUUAUCUGAUGCCAUU